Molecule: ribosomal RNA, 415 nt
Filed under: uncultured crenarchaeote
Lineage: Archaea; Thermoproteati; Thermoproteota
Description: partial 16S ribosomal RNA
Rfam family: Archaeal small subunit ribosomal RNA
Source: RNAcentral
GUGCAGCAGGCGCGAAAACUCCACAAUGCGCGAAUGCGUGAUGGGGUUAGCCCGAGUGCCGUCCGAUGAGGAUGGCUUUUCUCCAGUUUAAGGAGCUGGAGGAAUAAAGGGGGGGCAAGACUGGUGUCAGCCGCCGCGGUAAUACCAGCCCCCUGAGUGGUAGGGACGAUUAUUUGGCCUAAAGCGUCCGUAGCCGGCUUGGUAAGUCUUUCGUCAAAUCCGACGAUUCCAUCGUCGGCCCGCGGAAGAUACUGCUAGGCUUGAGGACGGGAGAGGUCGACGGUAGUCCCGGGGUAGGGGUGAAAUCCUAUAAUCCCGGGAGGACCACCAGUGGCGAAGGCGGUCGACUAGAACGUGCCUGACGGUGAUGGACGAAAGCUGGGGGAGCGAACCGGAUUAGACACCCGGGUAGUCC